RNAcentral lists this ribosomal RNA (253 nucleotides) under uncultured bacterium. Its description in RNAcentral is "partial 16S ribosomal RNA". It matches the Rfam family "Bacterial small subunit ribosomal RNA", at positions 524 to 776 of the family's 1533-position model. The record is from RNAcentral.
UACGAGAGGUGCAAGCGUUGUUCGGAAUGACUGGGCGUAAAGCGCACGUAGGCGGAUUCGCAAGUAGGAUGAGAAAGCCCCAGGCUCAACCUGGGAAUGGCACCCUAAACUACGGAUCUUGAAUGCUUGAGAGGUUGGUGGAAUUCCUGGUGUAGGAGUGAAAUCCGUAGAUAUCAGGAGGAAUAUCGGAGGCGAAGGCGGGUCUCUGGGCCGAAACUGACGCUGAGGAGCGAAAGCGUGGGGAGCGAACAGG